RNA transcript from Poecile atricapillus (Black-capped chickadee), 3384 nucleotides. It is a transcript of the gene named speckle type BTB/POZ protein, with no coding region annotated. The transcript is spliced from 3 exons. NCBI's taxonomy places the organism in Eukaryota, Metazoa, Chordata, Aves, Passeriformes, Paridae. The record is from RefSeq and is a predicted model, not a curated record.
CCUGUCCCUGUCCUGUCCCAUCCCUGCUCUCCGUUCCCGUUCCCUGGAUGUUCCCGUCCCUCCGUGGCUCUGCAGGGUGCAGCAGCUCUGCUGGCAGAGCCGGGGCUGCUGUGCCAGGAGAAAACCCGGGAGGGCUGGUGGGGAGCAGCAGCUGUGCCAGGCAUGGAAACAGCGCGGGGAGAGGAUGGAUCCCUAAUUAGCCAUGGCCAGAAAACGUCCAUUAACAGCGACAGCCGCGGGCUUUGGGCUGGACACAAAGGCAGCUCCCCAGAGGCAGCCCAGGCUCCACGGCAAUCCCUGGCACGGCGCUCCCGGAGCUCUCCAGAUGGGAAAGGGGCUCCACAGGUGGGGAGCAGCACCUUCAGCUGCCUCCCCGAGAGCUGCACAAAUUAAAGCCUCAUUAAGUGUCCCCCCGUGAUUGAGCUGGGCUUUGUUUGGGUUGGUAACAGAGCCGGCAAAUCCGGGAAAUAAUGAAAUAACUGCGUUUUCAUCCUCUGCUGAUAGGGGAGUUUAAUUAGUGCUGCAUUUCCAAUAACUCUGAUCCCGACGUGCCGCAGAUCCUUCCUGGAUAACGGGAUAAUGAUUGGAAUCCUGUCCUGCAGCCCCGCGCUGGAGGCAGGGCUGCUCCAUUUAAUCACGCUGGAGAAGCGCUGGCAGCUCUCUGCAGCUCAGCCUCUCCCUAAUUACAUUUCUGGAGUUUUAGUAAAUUGAAAGGGAAAACGCAGGAACAAAAUAAUUAAACCCGAAGAGGAAGUGAAUAUUAAAAAGCAGCAGCUAGUUAAAAUUCUUGCACACAGCUCCUCUCGGAGCCAUCGGUUUAAUCAGAUUCCCGUGGAAAUCACACUGGGAGAGGUGACACCUCCAAACCUGGGGCUGCAGCAGCGUUUGGUGUCCCUGUCACAGGGAGAUGCCACCUCCCAUCCAGCUGGGAAUUGUCCCCAGAGCUGGGAUUUCGGAGCUCUCCCUUCACACACACCAAAAUCCCCAUCCCAACAGGCAAGGUUCAAGCGCCGGGAAUUGUUUAUUUAUCACAGAAUUGUGUUCCAGACAUGGAGAAGUGACAAUAAUUCCCUUCUCCCAGCCACCGAGGGGGACAGAGCUGAGCCUAAACAACUUCUGCAAAGGGAGGAGAGGUGAAAUUCCACCUCCAUUUCCACAGGUGCCCAAUUCAAUUUUCUACUUCCUGGGAACAAGGGAAUUUUGAUCAGGAGAACCUGAAAAAGAGCUUGAGUUCCCCACUGCGGAGCGCCACUCGGCCAGUGCUGGAUUAAAGGAGAAUUUCUGUUUGUUCUGGUUACAGAGAGGCUGCCGGGGAGGAGGGGGGAUCUCUUUGUUGUCCGUAAAACUGGUGCUGUAAUUUCCUCUGCCACUUCAGCCCUGAGAGGAGAAACACAUGGCUAAAAACCCACAGCUUAGCUAGGAAUAUAAAAUGGGAAUGGGAAGAGAAUGGAAAGCGGUUUCCAGGAGAAAUGUGGGGAACGCAAACAGCAGCCCUGCACCUCACAGAGCCAUUUCUUCAUCACCUGCUGCUCUGUCACCACGGGCAGCGCUUGGGGACACGAAGGAACGCUGCAGGAUCCAAGGAUUGCUCCAAGGACUGGAGGAGACACCUGCCAGGAAAAGCCGGGACGCUGCGGAGAACAUUCCCAAUAAUCCAGGAGCCAGGUGGAUGCGGCAGCCCCCGGCCACCAGAAGCAUUUCUCACCUGGGAGAAGGAGAGAGAUGACAAAAAUAUUUUGCAUUUCCCAUUUCAAUAAACAUGGCUGUGCCAAAGAAGCUGGUUAAUUCUGUUCUUGGGGGGCUUUGUGUGCCAUGGAAUGAAUUCACCCCGAGGCUGGAAGGGGCAGGAGGGGAAAGCUGGCCCUGGAUAAACUUCUCUACAAACAUUCAGGUAAUUAAUGACUGAUAACAAUGACAUCUUUGCUUCACUGCUUACAAACCACUACAAAUUAGCAAAGAAGAGCCAUACCAAUAAAUGAAUUGCUUCUUUUGCUGGAAAUGUAUAAGUAAAAAAGUUUUGUAUCAGCCUGGGUGUGGAGGAACUUUGUCAGCCUCGCAUGAGCCGGGGCCAAGGAGAAAGCCAGGCCUCGCUUGAUAACACUGGAAAACAGGGGUGGAGUCUUAUUUCUCAUGACGUUUUUGGAGGAUUCUGGUAACACUUCCUCACAGAACUGUGAGGGGAAACAGCAGCCGCCAUUCCCUUGGCAGCCAGGCCCUCAUGGAGCCGUGAGGGGAGAUGAUGGUUCCUGCCAUUCCCUCAGGCAGGUGUCCCCUCAUGGAGCCCUGAGGGGAGAUGGUUCUCACCAUUCCCUCAGGCAGGUGUCCCCUCAUGGAGCCGUGAGGGGAGAUGGUUCCCGCCAUUCCCUCAGGCAGGUGUCCCCUCAUGGAACCAUGGUGGGAGAUGACACCUGCCAUUCCCUCAGGCAGGUGUCCCCUCAUGGAGCCCUGAGGGGAGAUUGUUCCCGCCAUUCCCUCAGGCAGGUGUCCCCUCAUGGAGCCCUGAGGGAAGGGGGAGAUGGUUCCCGCCAUUCCCUCAGGCAGGUGUCCCCUCAUGGAGCCGUGAGGGAAGGGGCCAUGGCACGUCCAGAAACCUCCCCAGGGAGGGUGGCCAGGCGGUGCCGCCUGCGGGGUCCGUGUGGGGCAGGGCUCAGCGGCGGCCAUGCGGGCGGUGGAACGGCACUGCGACAGCAGCAACCCGGUGCCGUGGGUGACAGCGGGGGACGCGGCGCUGCCAGCCAUGGAUUCAUCAGCGGGGCAGCAGGAGGAGCGCCCAGCGCUGCCAGCCAUGGAUUCAUCAGCGGGGCAGCAGGAGGAGCGCCCAGCGCUGCCCUGCCACAAAGUGAUCCCUUGGGAGAGCGCAGGAGCGGCGGGAGCUGCCACAAAGGGAGGCGUCCCGGAACGCGCGUGCGCGGGACCGGCCGGGCCGCGCGUGCUCGUGCCGGGGGUGUGUGUGGGGGGGGAGCGGUCUCGCGCGACGGGCGCGCGGCUAUAAAAGGCGGUGGGCGUGGCCGGCGGCGCCAGUCCCGCAGUGCGCGUGCGCGGCCGUGAGGGGAGCGCUGGGCAGCGCCAUAUCCCCGGCCCCCCCCCCGCUCGCCGCCCCGGCACCGCGCGCAUGCGCGCUAAGCUGCUGCGGGCACCUGCGCAAUAGUGAUCCCCGGGUCGCGCUCGGCGGAGACCGGCCCGGGAGGACAUGCUGCCAAAUAGUGAUCCCUUGCUGCUGGUGGUCUCCUGAGGGGGCUGCGGGGUCCGGGGGCCGUCCCCACACACCGCACCUGCCCGGGCAGCGCUCCCCGCCUCCCUCCGGCCUCCCAGCAGCGCCGCACCGCCGGCGGGGCCGCUCCUCGGGCCGCGAGGUGCAGCUGAGCUCUGUUUCCUGCUGCCUGU